RNAcentral lists this ribosomal RNA (500 nucleotides) under uncultured bacterium. RNAcentral describes it as "bacterial SSU rRNA". It matches the Rfam family "Bacterial small subunit ribosomal RNA", at positions 28 to 526 of the family's 1533-position model. The record is from RNAcentral.
GAUGAACGCUAGCGGGAGGCCUAACACAUGCAAGCCGAGCGGUAGAAAGUAGCUUGCUACUUCUGAGAGCGGCGUACGGGUGCGUAACACGUGUGCAACCUGCCUUUAUCUGGAGAAUAGCCUUUCGAAAGGAAGAUUAAUGCUCCAUAACAUAUUGAAUGGCAUCAUUUAAUAUUGAAAGCUCCGGCGGAUAGAGAUGGGCACGCGCAAGAUUAGUUAGUUGGUGAGGUAACGGCUCACCAAGGCGAUGAUCUUUAGGGGGCCUGAGAGGGUGAUCCCCCACACUGGUACUGAGACACGGACCAGACUCCUACGGGAGGCAGCAGUGAGGAAUAUUGGACAAUGGGUGAAAGCCUGAUCCAGCCAUCCCGCGUGAAGGAUGACGGCCCUAUGGGUUGUAAACUUCUUUUGUAUAGGGAUAAACCUACCCUCGUGAGGGUAGCUGAAGGUACUAUACGAAUAAGCACCGGCUAACUCCGUGCCAGCCGCCGCCGUAAGAC